UUUUUUUUUAGGUUCAAAAAUUUUAUUUUCAAAGACACCAACAAAAUACAAAAAAUGUCCUCACACACGAGGGCUAGCAUUCGCCAUACUUCAUUCAUUCAUUCCGUUUAUUCCGUACAUGUUAAAAUGGUGUUGUGCAGCCUUGUUAGGGGAGCUUACUCCGAAUCAAGUGCUCCUUGCCGAGUUUACCACGUGUAGGAGUGUAUAACGUGUGUCUGUCCACAACACGUGUCAUCGACUGCGGUUGUUUGGAGACUGCGCUUUACAGUAUUACCGAAAUGGAUUUGGAGCAUUAAGACGAAGAUCUGCCCAGGUUCCAAGUCGGCAUACCAUACAACUAUUGGUCCAGGACCUUAUGAAAAUACUUCGUGUAGAAAUUUAGGUCUGCCAUGAACAUAUUGUAAAUAUC
Pecten maximus is the source of this 409-nucleotide long non-coding RNA. RefSeq lists it as uncharacterized. The transcript is spliced from 2 exons. Lineage: Eukaryota; Metazoa; Mollusca; Bivalvia; Pectinida; Pectinidae. The record is from RefSeq and is a predicted model, not a curated record.